GACGAACGCUGGCGGCGUGCUUAACACAUGCAAGUCGAACGGAAAGGCCCUGCUUUUGUGGGGUGCUCGAGUGGCGAACGGGUGAGUAACACGUGAGUAACCUGCCCUUGACUUUGGGAUAACUUCAGGAAACUGGUGCUAAUACCUGAUAGGAGCUCCUGCUGCAUGGUGGGGUUUGGAAAGUUUCGGCGGUUGGGGAUGGACUCGCGGCUUAUCAGCUUGUUGGUGGGGUAGUGGCUUACCAAGGCUUUGACGGGUAGCCGGCCUGAGAGGGUGACCGGCCACAUUGGGACUGAGAUACGGCCCAGACUCCUACGGGAGGCAGCAGUGGGGAAUAUUGCACAAUGGGCGGAAGCCUGAUGCAGCAACGCCGCGUGCGGGAUGACGGCCUUCGGGUUGUAAACCGCUUUCGCCUGUGACGAAGCGUGAGUGACGGUAAUGGGUAAAGAAGCACCGGCUAACUACGUG
RNAcentral lists this ribosomal RNA (468 nucleotides) under uncultured bacterium. Its description in RNAcentral is "partial 16S ribosomal RNA". It matches the Rfam family "Bacterial small subunit ribosomal RNA", at positions 28 to 507 of the family's 1533-position model. The record is from RNAcentral.